AAAUUGAAGAGUUUGAUCAUGGCUCAGAUUGAACGCUGGCGGCAGGCCUAACACAUGCAAGUCGAACGGUAACAGAAAGCAGCUUGCUGCUUUGCUGACGAGUGGCGGACGGGUGAGUAAUGUCUGGGAAACUGCCUGAUGGAGGGGGAUAACUACUGGAAACGG
Molecule: ribosomal RNA, 165 nt
Filed under: Escherichia coli
Lineage: Bacteria; Pseudomonadati; Pseudomonadota; Gammaproteobacteria; Enterobacterales; Enterobacteriaceae
Description: partial 16S ribosomal RNA
Rfam family: Bacterial small subunit ribosomal RNA
Source: RNAcentral